UACGUAGGGACCGAGCGUUGUCCGGAAUCAUUGGGCGUAAAGAGCGUGUAGGCGGCCACUUAAGUCCUGCGUGAAAUCUUGCGGCUCAACCGCAAGCGGCCGUGGGAAACUGGGUGGCUAGAGUGCGGGAGAGGAGAGUGGAAUUCCUGGUGUAGCGGUGGAAUGCGCAGAUAUCAGGAAGAACACCCGUGGCGAAGGCGGCUCUCUGGAACGCAACUGACGCUGAGACGCGAAAGCGUGGGGAGCAAACAGG
RNAcentral lists this ribosomal RNA (253 nucleotides) under uncultured bacterium. RNAcentral's name for it is "partial 16S ribosomal RNA". It matches the Rfam family "Bacterial small subunit ribosomal RNA", at positions 524 to 776 of the family's 1533-position model. The record is from RNAcentral.